This is a long non-coding RNA of Bos taurus (domestic cattle), 462 nucleotides long. NCBI's taxonomy places the organism in Eukaryota, Metazoa, Chordata, Mammalia, Artiodactyla, Bovidae. The record is from Ensembl.
GCUUUCAACCAGGAAGUGAGAUAACAUUUUACAUAAAGGCUUGGCUGAGCUGUGUGCUUCAUCCUUAUUCACUUCCUUCCACGUCUGCCUUGGAGCCCUUGAGCAUAUCUCCUCCAUCAACACAGACACUAGUGGUAAAUAGAAGAUGAAGUAACACAGCUGAGGGAAACAAGCCCAUGAAAGAAAUGAAUCAACUUCAGCGUUGAUCCCCAUCACUGGGACAGAGUUCAGUAUGCAAACACUCAGAGGUGGCUGACCGCAACCAGAACAUCUACCCAACCCGGAACAAGGUCUGCAAGCCCUGUAGCUGCCCAGCCUCAAGGCAGAAGAAAGAGCCUGGAGACAGUGAGAGAGACAUCAAUGGCUUAUUGGACAGAGGAAUCUUGAGUCUGAAGCAAAAGUUCCUGGAGCGUCAACCCAUUGUGUGCAGCAGACGUGACAGCAGUCUUCACUACUCAGGGG